UACGUAGGGGGCAAGCGUUGUCCGGAUUUAUUGGGCGUAAAAGGCUUGUAGGUGGCCACGCCAAGUCGGAUGUGAAAUCUCCCGGCUCAACUGGGAGGGGUCAUUCGAUACUGGCGGGCUCGAGGCCGGUAGGGGGAAGUGGAAUUCCCGGUGUAGUGGUGGAAUGCGUAGAUAUCGGGAGGAACACCAGUGGCGAAGGCGGCUUCCUGGACCGGUUCUGGACACUGAGGA
Molecule: ribosomal RNA, 231 nt
Filed under: uncultured bacterium
Lineage: Bacteria
Description: partial 16S ribosomal RNA
Rfam family: Bacterial small subunit ribosomal RNA
Source: RNAcentral